Molecule: ribosomal RNA, 429 nt
Filed under: Chloroflexota bacterium
Lineage: Bacteria; Bacillati; Chloroflexota
Description: Chloroflexi bacterium partial 16S ribosomal RNA
Rfam family: Bacterial small subunit ribosomal RNA
Source: RNAcentral
UAGGGAAUCUUCGGCAAUGGACGAAAGUCUGACCGAGCAACGCCGCGUGAGUGAAGAUGGUUUUCGGAUCGUAAAACUCUGUUGUUAGAGAAGAACAAGGACGUUAGUAACUGAACGUCCCCUGACGGUAUCUAACCAGAAAGCCACGGCUAACUACGUGCCAGCAGCCGCGGUAAUACGUAGGUGGCAAGCGUUGUCCGGAUUUAUUGGGCGUAAAGCGAGCGCAGGCGGUUUCUUAAGUCUGAUGUGAAAGCCCCCGGCUCAACCGGGGAGGGUCAUUGGAAACUGGGAGACUUGAGUGCAGAAGAGGAGAGUGGAAUUCCAUGUGUAGCGGUGAAAGGCGUAGAUAUAUGGGGGAACACCAGUGGCGAAGGCGGCUCUCUGGUCUGUAACUGACGCUGAGGCUCGAAAGCGUGGGGAGCAAACAGG